GUCUGUAUGUAGUUUUAUAGAGUCUAACCUGCCCGUUGAGAAAUUGAAAGGCCGCAGUAUUUUAAACUGUGCUAAGGUAGCAUAAUCAAUAGUGUUUUAAUUGAAGGCUUGUAUGAAGGGUUGGACAAAGAAAUAGCUGUCUUUUUUUUUAUAUUUGAAUUUGUCUUUUAAGUGAAAAGACUUAAAUAAGUUUAAGGGACGAUAAGACCCUAUAAAUCUUUAUAUUAACUAUUUUUUAUUUUUAUUUUUAAUGUUUAUAAAAUAAAAAUUUCAAAUAUUAUAUUGGGGUGAUAAGAAUAUUAAAUAUACUGUUCUAAUAAAAAACAAAUAUUUUUGAAUAUAAUAGAUCCUUCUUAAAGAUUAAAAGUUUAAGUUACUUUAGGGAUAACAGCGUUAUUUUUUUUGAGAGUUCUAAUCGAAAAAAAAGUUUGCGACCUCGAUGUUGAAUUAAAAUUUCUUUAUAGCGCAGCAGUUAUAAAAGAAAGUCUGUUCGACUUUUAAAAUUUU
This 507-nucleotide ribosomal RNA is filed under the name Allomunida magnicheles. Its description in RNAcentral is "partial large subunit ribosomal RNA". It matches the Rfam family "Bacterial large subunit ribosomal RNA", at positions 1829 to 2597 of the family's 2925-position model. The record is from RNAcentral. Lineage: Eukaryota; Metazoa; Arthropoda; Malacostraca; Decapoda; Galatheidae.